Molecule: long non-coding RNA, 1764 nt
Filed under: Homo sapiens (human)
Lineage: Eukaryota; Metazoa; Chordata; Mammalia; Primates; Hominidae
Description: PREDICTED lncRNA (TCONS_00151355)
Source: RNAcentral
GUGGCUCCUCUAGGUGAGCAGCCCUCAGUGCGCAUCUCCCUGAAGUCCACAUUGAUCCGGCAGAGCUGUGGGGUUCACAGCUCACACUGAGGCAUUCAGGGCCUAAACCCCACUUUACUCUUUUGUACAAUGAAUGGGAAAUCAGUGAUCUAAAUGAGUUUAAAUCUUAUUAGGGAUUCAGCCUGCCCUUCAGACUCUGUCUCUAUUCCUCCCAGAGCUGGGUUCAACAUGAAUUCAAAUACAAAUAUGAGACAAUGAAUUAUGGUAGUGACAAAGACCUUCCUUCGAAUUUCGGAUUUUUCUAGCAGCCCCUUUCUUUCUGCUUCCCACCUGCCUUCAACUCUUUCUCCUAAAAAAGUUCAGUUGGGGUGAACGUUUGGUGACUUAGAACAUCAUUAUUUUAACGUGAUCCCAAAGCGGUUUUCAUUAUAUGCAAAGCUGUAUAUUUAUUUACAUUUUUAAAAAUGUUCUAAAUUGGUUUCUUAUGUCCAAAAGAAGGGGAGCUAGUUAUAAGAAAAGAGAAUUGAGUAACAUAAGAAAGUGCUAAUCAUUUCAAAUUAAAGUGGGAAACAUGCAAAGCAGAAAGAAUCAAUUUCAUAAACUCAACAAAUUAUUAACAUAAACAAUUCCAAACUCUUGUAUCUAUAUAACAUCAGUGAUCUGUGAGGUGAAAUGAGAUUCUGAAGAAAAACUAAAUAAUAAGGCCAUUUUUCUAAGCCAAAAAAGUUUUUGUCAUUAAUUGUGGAAUUUCACCAAUCAAUUUUUUUCUAAUAAAAGUUUCUUAAACUUUUAGUGCCUACUAUUGCUUGUAGGUUAAUAAACCCUAGCAGAAAACAAAAUCAUUAAUGAAAUGGAAAACAAACAUUAAUGGGAAAUUUGUGUAACCUUAAUUCUUAACGUGUCUUAUGAGUUAAUUUUUAAAAUGUGAAGUUUUAUUCUUGGUGUUUGGUAAUUAACUAAGUUUAUUAAUCUCUCACAAAUAUGAGGAAUUUUAUUCCCUAAAGGAACGUGAGGAACACGAGUAGUUCAAGAAAAUGCUGAAGAUGCGCUUGGCUGGGAAGCUAGGAUAGGCUGACGAAGUCAGACUUAGUGUGGGAACCUGGCUGGGAAAGGGUUUCUUUUGGCCAUAAAAGCUACUCCAAUGGCUGUGGGAGACUUAAUUCCAAUUCCAGGUGAUACAGCCGUCAGUCUCCCACUAGCUGUAGGAUGGUGUGCUGCAGUUCACAGGGUAAAGGAGAUAGAAGUGGAUGAAAUGAGAGAGUAUUUUUUUAACUGAACUCUGAUUAAUGCCAAAAGUGUUCAAUCACUAUGUGUGGGGAAGCUUCCUGGUACAAAGGAAAAAAAACAGGUUGUUCAUACACUUGGCUGUGUUAACCUAAGUCAAUGUUAGUCUACUACUGUACAUCUGGUAACCUCAAUCCCUGCAACCGAGGCAAAAUGGGAUUCCAGGUCUUGGCAACCUUUGAAAUUCCAAUUCCAUUUGCGAGAGCUUUGAGGAGGCCAUAUGCUGAUUUUACCACCAGCAACUUCACAACCCAGUACUGGAAUGCCAUCAGCCAGCAGGCCCCUGCCAUCAUCUGUGACUUCUAUCUGUGGCUCACUGGAAGGAAACCCAGACAAGGCCAAGCUGGGUGAAAGAGCAAUCAGCCACCUCUGCAACCUGCCACCUCCUGCUGGCAGGAUUUGUUUUUGCAUCCUGUGAAGAGCCAAGGAGGCACCAGGGCAUAAGUCUACUCACUUAUAUCUGUUUGUCUGAAACAUAAC